Molecule: ribosomal RNA, 237 nt
Filed under: uncultured bacterium
Lineage: Bacteria
Description: partial 16S ribosomal RNA
Rfam family: Bacterial small subunit ribosomal RNA
Source: RNAcentral
UCAUGCUCAGGAUGAACGCUAGCUACAGGCUUAACACAUGCAAGUCGAGGGGAAACGACAUCGAAAGCUUGCUUUUGAUGGGUGUCGACCGGCGCACGGGUGAGUAACGCGUAUCCAACCUGCCCACCACUUGGGGAUAACCUUGCGAAAGUAAGACUAAUACCCAAUGAUAUCUCUAGAAGACAUCUGAAGGAGAUUAAAGAUUUAUCGGUGAUGGAUGGGGAUGCGUCUGAUUAG